Molecule: non-coding RNA, 27 nt
Filed under: Mus musculus (house mouse)
Lineage: Eukaryota; Metazoa; Chordata; Mammalia; Rodentia; Muridae
Source: RNAcentral
CUAGCAGGUGAUGAUCCUGAAAUGGUC